Long non-coding RNA from Perognathus longimembris pacificus (Pacific pocket mouse), 511 nucleotides. RefSeq lists it as uncharacterized. The transcript is spliced from 2 exons. Lineage: Eukaryota; Metazoa; Chordata; Mammalia; Rodentia; Heteromyidae. The record is from RefSeq and is a predicted model, not a curated record.
GUGCACAAGCCUGAGUUCAACUCCCUGGCCUGUGUGUGUGUGUGUGUUGUGUGUGUGUAUCUCUUUUCCUUUGUAUUAGUCCAUGUACUUGUUGCAAGAAGUAUAAAUCCACUAGGACCAAAAAAUAAUUUAUUGAAAGAAUAGGGUAUGACACAAAUUGUGAGAACUGGAAAACCAGACUGAAAGGUUAUGGUACUAGGAGCAGUGUUCAACAUUGCCUCUGGGACAUUUUAGAAAUAAUACCAGUUCCAAUAGCUGAUCCCGCCAAUAUAGGCAAUACUGCCCCUGAAAUGUAGACAUAGCUUUUGAUGGAUAUCAUUAGUGGAACCUGGGUGGUAUUGCCAGUGCCUAACCCAUGGGAGAGGGAAGAAAAGCAGGUUUCUGUCUUUUUCUUCUUUCAUAGAGGAAGGGGGCAGCCAUCUAGAGUGGUUGAUGGACACCUUGUUUCUCUCCAAGAUUAUGUAUUGAAAUUCACCAGAGGAACUCUGUUCUAUGUUAAUAAGAAACUCUU